UGACGCCUGGGCACCAGCAGUCCUCGUGGCCUUCUAGGCCUGGCCGCCAUACACUCGCUCGCAGACAGCUUCCAAGACACUACCCGCACAACCCCUUUGGGCUUUCCAACGCGGCGCCCCCUA
Fukomys damarensis (Damara mole-rat) is the source of this 123-nucleotide unclassified non-coding RNA. The record is from Ensembl. Lineage: Eukaryota; Metazoa; Chordata; Mammalia; Rodentia; Bathyergidae.